UACAUAGGGUGCAAGCGUUGUCCGGAUUUACUGGGCGUAAAGAGCGUGUAGGCGGUAGGAUAAGUCAAACUUUAAAAUCUCUUGGCUCAACCAGAGAUCGGGUUUGAUACUGUCUUGCUAGAGAAUGGGAGAGGAAAGUAGAACUAACAGUGUAGCGGUGAAAUGCGUAGAUAUUGUUAGGAAUACCCGUGGCGAAGGCGGCUUUCUGGACCAUUUCUGACGCUGAGACGCGAGAGCGUGGGGAU
Molecule: ribosomal RNA, 245 nt
Filed under: uncultured bacterium
Lineage: Bacteria
Description: partial 16S ribosomal RNA
Rfam family: Bacterial small subunit ribosomal RNA
Source: RNAcentral